AUGAUUCUUCGCCCAACCGAAAAUGAGCAUAUGUUUUUCAAUAGGAAAGGAAGGCACACUAUAAAUGCAAUGAUUAUUUGUGAUGAAAAGUACAAAAUACUAUCCAUCAAUGCAAAAUAUGGUGGAUGCUCACAUGAUAGCUUUGUAUGGAGGCAGAGUAAACAAAGAGAAAAGUUAAAUUUGGAGUACUGUGCAAGCAGAACAACAUCGACAUGGCUCCUCGGUGAUAGUGGCUAUCCUUUGGAGCCCUUCUUAAUAACACCGUAUAGAACUGCAGCAGAUCACUCACCAGAAGCACACUUUAAUUAUAAACACUCCCAAGCUAGAAGCACCAUAGAACGAUGCAUUGGUGUGAUGAAGAGUAAUAUUUUCGU
Long non-coding RNA from Eupeodes corollae, 374 nucleotides. RefSeq lists it as uncharacterized. NCBI's taxonomy places the organism in Eukaryota, Metazoa, Arthropoda, Insecta, Diptera, Syrphidae. The transcript has 3 exons. The record is from RefSeq and is a predicted model, not a curated record.